Molecule: long non-coding RNA, 324 nt
Filed under: Nicotiana tabacum (common tobacco)
Lineage: Eukaryota; Viridiplantae; Streptophyta; Magnoliopsida; Solanales; Solanaceae
Description: long non-coding RNA (NTAB_LNC015146)
Source: RNAcentral
CCAUUGCCCGUCUUCGUCAUCACAUUCCCUUAAACACGUCACCCUCCAAACUACUACUAUUACAGAGAGGAGGGGCCAUACCAUUCCAUACCUUAGCCUUUCUCUCUUAUAGCUUGCUCUCACCUUCCCCUCUUUUCUUUAUCUUCUGUCACUUCUCUCUCUUCUUCUUUCUUCUACCCUUUUCCUCUUUCUUUCUUUGCAUACAACAUUCUUCUUCCUCUUUCUAAUUUUUUGCUCAUAUUUGCUCUGAGAAAAACAAAACAAUUUAAAAAAAAAUCAAAUGGGUCGAGGCAAGAACUGGGCUUCCUAAGUGGUUUCUUGUAA